UUUUAAGCUAUUAAAUAAAUGUUCGAUUUAAUGAGUAUAUAUAAUUUUUGGAUUACAUAUUCUCUUACAACUAAAAUUAUAAUUUGUUAACAUGUUUUAUAUUAAAAUUCGAAUUCUAUUUAUUAAUAAACAAGACCAUGAUUAAAUCAAGCAGGAAAACCUAUACAGAUUAAUUACCCGGGUUCUUUCUCUUAGUCUAUUGAUUGAUUAAAACAUUAUACAACCAGGGCAUAUACAUCAUGCAUUAAAACAAGAACAGGGCUUGAAAUGAAAUUUAGACUUGCCAUUACGUCCCAAGAUAUGCAAGAACUGUGGAUCAUCUAGAUUACAGUGCCGCUUGGAAUCAAGGCGUCCUUGAUUACAGUAACAAUUCCACUCUUUAUGAAAUAUCCAUCAGUUUCUCUCGCUGCUUCUUGCACAUUGUCACCAUUAAUGAUCUUCACAUCGGCUCCAAUUCGAGCAUUUUUGUCAAUAAUGGCUCUCUUAAUAUGAGAAUUCUUGCCAAUACCAAUUGGAACACUACCCUUUGCUGCCAGAAACCUCCUGUCAGCAUCAGUCUCAUAAUAAUCUGCUCCCAUUAAUAAUGUGUCCUCUAUGACUGCACCUUCUGAUAUGCAGGAUCGAAGCCCAACCACUGAGUGGUGAAUUUUACAGUUCUUUAUAACACAACCCUCACCAAUAACACUAUCUGUAACAUCAGCAUCAAGCAUCUUGGAUGGAGGCAAAUAGCGAGGUUGAGUAUAGAUUGGAGAUGAACGAUCAUAGAAGCUGAAAUCUGGCACUGGCUUUUUAGUUAUCCCAAGAUUGGCAUUAUAAAAUGCCUCAAUUGUACCAAUAUCUUCCCAGUAGCCAUCAUAUAAGUAAGCUUGCACCUAUAAAGGUUAUUGAGCAAUUAGAAUUCAAGAGAUUGAUUCACAAGUUUGUAAGGCAAACUUUCAGCCCAAUGGAUCUAUGUGAUGUACCAAAAGGGACUUUUCAGUCCUUUCUAAAACAAAAAGUUUGUUCAAGAUGCAAAUAUAUAAGGAAAUAACAUUACAGCUUCACAAAUGAAUAUGAAUUUGGACUUCUACACACUCAUCACACAAGUCAACCUCAGGCAUCCAUUUGCAAGUUAAUACAACUGAAGGUGUGCUAUAAAGCCCAUAUAUGCAACUGCUAGAGUUAGGCAAUAUAGAUUCAACAUAUAUAAAUGGCAAUUUUUUGUAUUACGAUUUCCUUAUUCAGACUAUGUUUACAUGUAUGCCUAUAGGCCACAAGAAUAACUGACUAUUCUUUACACAAACCUAUGAGAAGCAUAAAUGGAGAUAUUGAAUGAAGAAUGCUUACUCUCAUCCCAAUGGAAGUAGCACCAGGAAUAACUUCACUUCCAAAAUCAUUGGCUCCAGGAAAUUUCUCUCUCAGAAGAUCUAACAUUGCAUUUUUGCUGACGACAUAUAUCCCCAUACUAGCAAUGUAAGGCAUCUCUUUUGCUCUCUCAUCAUCAAGACCUAAAAUUGUAGUAUCAAUCUUCAUUGCUUUCAAUUGCUCCCCUUUUGGCUUCUCAGCAAAUUCAAUUAUGCGCCCUUCUUCAUCAAUUUUCAUCAGACCAAAGGCAGUUGCACGUUUUUCAUCCAUUGGUAGAGCAGCUACAGUGAUAUCUGCAUCAGUUUCUCUGUGUGCUUGGAUAAACCUUUCAUAAUCCAUCCGAUAUAAAUGAUCCCCUGCAAGAAUCAAGAAUUCCAGAACAUUGUGCUCCUCAAAUAACCACAAAUACUGUCUGACAGCAUCAGCUGUGCCCUGGAACCAAUUUGGGUUCUCUGGGCUCUGCUGAGCUGCAAGAACUUCAACAAAACCUUCAUUCUUGUAGCCACCCAUGUUGCUUGCAUAAGCCCGUGAAAGGUGGCGAUUGAGAGAUGCAGAGUUGAAUUGCGUAAGAACAUAAAUCUUUGAUAUAUUACUGUUCAAGCAGUUGCUAACAGGAAUAUCAAUCAGCCUGUAAUUUGCUCCUAAAGGAACAGCAGGUUUUGCCCUCUUCUUGGUAAGUGGGUAAAGGCGGGUCCCAGCACCACCUCCAAGAAUAAUUCCCAAGACACUUCUGCUAGCGUCAGGGUCAAGACAAGUUUGCGAAUUCCUGGAAUCAGAAACUGCCUUAGGAGAAACGACCAUCGGAGUCCUCUCAUUAUAAGCAAUUCCACGGCAAGCAGAAAAAAUCUUGGAAUAAAUCUUAUCACCUGAUAGACUAGACGAGGAGAAGGAGAGGCUUCGGAGAGGCGUUCUCCGGUUGAGAUUCGACGAAUUGGACGAUGAAGAAGAGGAAGUCGAAGACGUCGGAAGUCUCAGAACUCCGAUCGCCGCCAUACUGGCCAAAUGUAAAUUCAGAUUUUCACAAAACAAAAUAAAAUGUGAAUCUUCUAUCUAUUGCUCUCACAGGCACACACUCUCUUCACUGAAGAAGAGCAGGAGAAUGUGGCGUCAUGUGCUUGAUUCAUGUGGACGAUCUGAUUUUGGGAACCGUUUUGUCCAAUCGUUUUGUAUGAAUUUACGGGUUAGUUAGCGUGCUGUGGCGGGGCCGUGAGCGAAGCAGACAGGGGCAUUUUGGGAAAAGAAAUUGGUUAU
This 2595-nucleotide unclassified non-coding RNA is filed under the name Hevea brasiliensis (rubber tree). Lineage: Eukaryota; Viridiplantae; Streptophyta; Magnoliopsida; Malpighiales; Euphorbiaceae. The record is from RNAcentral.